AUUCGGAUAUGCAUUUCAUUCAUCCAUGCGUCCGCCUGCCUGCCUGCGCUUCCAUCCAUCCAUCCAUCCGUCCGUCCAUCCAUCCAUCCAUCCAUCCAUGCAUCCUAUUUCCAGCGAGACGUCAGAGAACUCACAGUCUUCUUGGGGAAGAGGUCAUAAACUUGGGCCUGGGUGGUUGCCCUAUCCAACUGAGGUCGCCUUUGCGAUCCCUGCUGCAAAUAGGCAGUGACUAGUCCAGGAGUGCAGCUGGGAGGAACUGCUCGCCGGAUAGAAGGGAAGAAAGGAGAUUCUAGGCAGAGGUACAGCAGGUGUAAGGGAUGUUGCAUUGUCUGUUUGAUAACCGGAAAUUGGUGGCCUGGAUGAAGUGGGUGGAUGGGGACAGAGAUGAGAUAGGGACAGCUCGUCCUUCCAGGCCCUGUUCUUUCUCCUCCCUGCAGCUCACUCUUUCCCUAGUGAGAAAGCCCCAAUAGGACGCCUUCCCUAUUUCUUUCUUUUUUUUUUGUUUUUUUAGCUUCAAGCUUCAAAAGCAUUUCUUUUUCAUUCUUUUUUUUAAUUAUUAUUAUACUUUAAGUUUUAGGGUACAUAUGCACAACAUGCAGGUUUGUUACGUAUGUAUACGUGUGCCAUGUUGGUGUGCUGCACCCAUUAACUCGUCAUUUAGCAUUAGGUAUAUCUCCUAAUGCUAUCCCUCCCCCUUCCCCCCACCCCACAACAGUCCCUGGUGUGUGAUGUUCCCCUUCCUGUGUCCAUGUGUUCUCUUUGUUCAAUUCCCACCUAUGAGUGAGAACAUGCGGUGUUUGGUUUUUUGUCCUUGCGAUAGUUUGCUGAGAAUGAUGGUUUCCAGCUUCAUCCAUGUCCCUACAAAGGACAUGAACUCAUCAUUUUUUAUGACUGCCCCUAUUUCUUCUAAGUUUUUGAUCAGGCUGUUUUCUCAACCCAGCGUAAUCCUCCCAGCCACUCCCGACUGUUUCCAGAGCUUUAGGAGCCAGGGAUUGCAAACGCAAGUACCUACAGGCGCAGACAUGAGCGACUGGGGUCGCAUGUAAAGUGAUAGAGAGGGUGGAGAAGAGGGGAACUGGAGACAUCGUGGGCUGUGCGUGGCUGGAUGAUAUUCAAAGAGAAGCAGGACAUCCAGAAAUCUUCCAACUUUUAAAUGUUUGAAACGAAUUCCCAAAAUUCGGAAAUAUUGAAUGGGCCAAAUGAAACACACUUUGCAGACAAAUCUGGCCCCCAGACCAUAGGUUGGCAACCUCUACCAUUGAGAAUAUUGUUUCAGUUCUUAACUUGUCGGCCUCCUGCCUCUGUCUAGAUUGUCUUUUUUCUCUUUUCUUUUCUUCUCUUCUCUUCUCCUUUCUUUCUUUUUCUCUCCCCGCCCUUCCUUCCUUCCUUUCUUCUUUCCUUCCUUCCUGCCUUCCUACCUUCCUUCUUUUUUUGACAGAGUCUUGCUCUGCUGCCCAGCCUGGAGUGCAAUGGCACGAUCUUGCCUCACCGCAACCUCUGCCUGCGGGGUUCAAGUGAUUCUCCUGGCUCAGCCUCCUGAGUAGCUGGGAUUACAGGCGUGUGCCACUAUGCCUGGCUAAUUUUUGUAUUUUUACUACAGACGGGGUUUCAUCAUGUUGGCCAGGCUGGUCUCAAACUCCUGACUUCAAGUGAUCCACCCACCUCAGCCUCCCAAAGUGCUAGGAUUACAGGCAUGAGCCACCGUGCCUGGUGAUUGUCUUUUUUCUAGAAUCCAAAUCCUUUGGGAUCAUCAGGUCUGUAAAAUACAAAUGGGGUUGGGUUGCUGUCUUACAUAAAACUGCCAAGGACUUCCUGUGUACCAUCAGGGUAAAGUCUAACCUUACUUAUCCUGGCAUUCAAAGCCCUUAACAUUUAGAGCCUGCUCUCCAUUCCCCUACAAAGGACCUCUCUUCUCCAUUCGGCCUUGACCUCAGCCACGCUAUUCUAGGACAUCUGCCUCUGUCUUUUUUUUUUUUUUUUGAGACAGGGUCUCACUUUGUCACCAAGGUUGGAGUGUAGUGGUGCAAUCAUGGCUCACUACAGCCUCAACCUCCUGGGAUCAAGUGAUCCUCCCACCUCAGCCCCCUAAGUAACUAGGACUACAGGUGUGCACCACCAGGCUCAGCUAAUUUUUGUAUUUUUUGUAGAGAUGGGGUUUUGCCAUGUUGCCCAGGCUGGUCUUGAACUCCUGAGCUUAAGCCUUCCAUCCACCUCAGCCUCCCAAAGCGCUGGGAUUGCGAGUGUGAGCCACCACGCCCAGCCCUGACAUCUGUUUGUUUUUGUUUUUUUUUUUUUUCUGAGAUGGAGUUUCACUCUUAUUGCCCAGGCUGGAGUGCAAUGGCACAAUCUUGGCUCACUGCAGCCUCCGUCUCCCGGGUUCAAGUGAUUCUCCUGCCUCAGCCUCCCAAGUAGUUGGGAUUACAGGUGUGUACCACCACGCCUGGCUAAUUUUUGUAUUUUUAGUAGAGAUGAGGUUUUGCCAUUGUUGGCCAGGCUGGUCUUGAACUCCCGACCUCAGGUGAGCUGUCCACCUCAGCCUCCCAAAGUGCUGGGAUUACAGGUGUGAACCACCUCACCCGGCCUGACAUCUGCUUUUGAUACCUCCACGCCUUUGUCUACUCGGUUUCCUCUGUCUGGAACACCUUUCCCUUCCUCCUUGUUUUCCAAACAAGUUCUCUUCUAAGAACUCUGUGUCUUCCCUUCCUCUCCCACACUCCUUGUCCUGCCAAUGUAGAGGAGUUUCGGAUUUCAUUCUAACUUUGUUCUAAUCCUCUCCAAGGCCUUAGUGCCGUAAAUAAACUAAUAGAGGGAUUUGAGUUAUUGGGUGUGCAGAAGAGGGGGCUGGAGAGGGAGAAAGCAGGAAGAAAACAUUCUGUGUCUAAAAGCUGAGUCUCAGAAUGUUAGCACUUAGAGAGCACUUUCCUCUUUUUGCAGAGGAAGAAACAGACCUAGAGAGGGGAGGAGUCAAAUCAAGCUUUGCAGUGCCCCUAGCCACAGUUAAUCAAGGGUUGCCCAGUUCAAGGCCACCUUCUGCGGAAACCUUCCCUGAUUCCUUAUCUGGGGCUUUGAUUACCCAUAGUGCAGUUAGUAAAGGUUUGCUGGCAUGCAUUGUGGGUAAUUAAGUCCCCCUCCCGACUCCCUCUCAGUUCUACAGGGAGGGAAGUCCUGGUCCCCAAAGAGGGUAUGCUCUAGCCAGGGGACACAGCAUGGGUCCCAUUAAAUUUAAGCUGUGGCCGGGGCUGGGAAACUUUGGACUCCAUGUGUUCUGGGACCAGCAGGUGAGAAGAGAGGGCACCAGCAUGGCUGCACUAACUGACCCUGGUCAGCAGAGAGGGCAGGGCUGCUUUUACAGUGGGAGGACAAGGAGGAAUAUAUGGGAAUCCAGUGAUCCAUGGGUUACAAUAACCAAUAAUUUAGGUCCCUCAGGACUGAAGGGUCGGGUCACAUCACCAGGUAACCCACCAAGGCCUGCCAAGGCGACGGUGGAGAGUGUGGAUAAUUUAGAAUGGAUAGUGAAGAAAGAAAGAACAAGCGCUGGUUAUGGCCUCUCGAUAACUGCAGCAAGGAGGCGGGGGCUCUAGCAUGUUCCACUAAUCUCCCUCUUCAAAGUUUUCCCAUAGAAAGAGAGGCUCACAGGAUCCAUGGUAGAGCUGAGUAGUGCAAGGGAUGGAAGGUGACGGCCCUGAAAAUGUGCCAUUCAGACCUCUGACUUCAGGAAAAGUCAUUGACCAAGGGCAGCAGCUGUGAAACCCAUCUGUGGUUCACACAGGAAGGCUCUGGUUUGCUUCCCACGAGCUGAUCCCAGCCAAAGAACUAAGGCGCGUCUGUUCGUGGAGACACAGGACUCCUCGAACAGGCAGCUUUGGAUCAAGGACUCCCCCUUGACUUUGUAAAAACUUUCUCACUGCACUGCAGUUGAAGACUCUUCCUCUCCCAUCAUCCUUCCUUCUGUCUCUCUUUUCCACGUGUUAGAUCUAGUACAGUCUGAUGAUCUUCCCAGCUUCCUCUUCCUCCCUCCUUCUUGGUCCCUCCCAAGGGUUUUCCUCAAUAAAUCAUUUGCACAUCUGGCCCACCUUGCCUGCUUCUCAGAGGAUGGAACCAACACAACACAUCUGAAGAGAGGCACAGAAGUGGUGACUUUGGGAGGCCAAGGUGGGCAGAUCACCUGAGUUUGGGAGUUCAAGACCAGCCUGGGCCAACAUGGCGAAACCCCAUCUCUACUAAAAAUACAAAAAUUAGCUGGGCAUGGUGGCACGCACCUGUAGUCUCAGCUACUCGGGAAGCUGAGGCCCAAGAAUCACUUGAACUGGAGAGGCAGAGGUUGCCAUGAGCCAAGAUUGUGCCAUUGCGCUCCAGUCUGAGCAACGGAGUGAAACUCUGUCUUUCAAAACAAAGCAAACAAAACCAAAAACAAACAAACAAAAACAAAAAAAGAAGUAGCAGCCUGCAAUGGUGCAGUCCUUUGUCCCUGACGCCUAGGGAUAAGCCACUCUUGCCAGCUCAAAGGUGCCACCUCUCCAGAGAGGGUCUUGAUGGGUAUAAUUUGGAUAGCGGAACACAAAGAAAAAACUUAGCCAUGAUUUUAUUUUCCUUCUUUCUUCUUUUUUUUUUUUUUUUGAGAUGGAGUCUUGCUCUGUCACCCAGGCUGGAGAGCAAUGGCACAAUCUCGGCUCACUGCAGCCUCCGCCUCCCAGGUUCGAGCAGUUCUCUUGCCUCAGCCUCCCAAGUGGCUGGGAUUACAGGCACGUGCCACCAUGCCCAGCUAAUUUUUUUUUUUUUGUAUUUUUAGUAGAGAUGGGGUUUCACCAUAUUGGUCAGGCUGGUCUCAAACUCCUGACUUUGGGUGAUCUGCCCACCUCGGCCUCCCAAAGUGCUGGGAUGACAGGCGUGAGCUACCUAGUCCAGUCUCUUUUCUUUUUUUAAUUUAAUUUUUAUUUAUUUAUUUAGUUUUAUUUAUUUAUUUAUUUCUUGAGAUGUAGUCUUGCUCUUCUCCCCCAGGCUGGAAUGCAAUGAUGCGAUCUCGGCUCACUGCAACCUCCACCUCUCGGCUUCAAGCAAUUCUCCUGCCUCAGCCUCCCGGGUAGCUGGUACUACAGGCUCCUGCCACCACGCCCAGCAAUUUUUGUAUUUUUAGUAGCGACAGGGUUGUACCAUGUUGGCCAUCCUGACCUCAGGUGAUCUGCCUGCCUUGGCCUCCCAAAGUGCUGGGAUUACAGGCAUGAGCCACUGUGUUCAGUUGGCCAUACUGAUAGACUCCAGGCUUUGGGAAACUGAUGGCAUUUGGGGAUUUCCCCAGCAUGUCCUGUGAUGCUCUUGAUUCCUUGUGUCUCCAGUCAUGACAGAGAGAAGGCAUUCCUGGCUUGUUGGUCCACAUUUAUGAUUUGUUGAUGUUGUUGUUGAGAUGGAGUCUCACCUUGUCGCCCAGGCUGGAGUACAGUGGCGUGAUCUUGGCAACCUCCAUCUCUUGGGUUCAAGUGAUUCCUCUGCCUCAGCCUCCCAAGUAGCUGGGAUUAAAGGGGCGUGCCAGCAUGCCUGGCUAAUUUUCAUAUUUUUAGUAGAGAUGGGGUUUCACCAUGUUGGCCAGGCUGGUCUCGAACUCCUGACCUCAGGUGAUCCACCAGCCUUGGCCUCCCAAAGUGCUGGGAUUACAGGCGUGAGCCACUGUGCCUGGCCUGUGAUUUUUUUAUUUUUUCAGAAGGGGUCUCGCUCUAUUGCCCAGGUUGGUUCUGAACUCCUGGGCUCAAGAGAUCCUCCCGCCUCAGCAUCCUGAGUAGCUGGGACUACAAGUGUGAGCCACUGUGCCAGGCACAAUGGUCUUUUGUAGUGGAGAACCUCCUCCCUGGGACCACUGGAAGACACAGGCCAAGUUAUUGCUGAUAGGAAAACCAAGAGGUCCAACAGAACCCAAGAUGGAUCGGAUGGAAGAUGGCACAGGUGCCCGGGACGUGCAGCACUGGAGUGGGUGAUGGAUCCUGGAAUCUCUCCAUCCCUUUUUGGAGUGUACAUUCUGCAGUGAGAAACAGUGCCCCAGCACAAGUACUGAUGAGCUCUCCACUGCCGAAAUACAACUCUGUGACCAUGGCCAGCAGGAAGCCACUGAUGAGGGGAAACACAGUGUGACGGUGCCCAGGGAAAGAACCUGCUUCUUUGUGACAUCACGGAGCUGCUGAGCCGCUUGAACUUGGAGCCACUUUGAGUUGGGAAUUCUGGCUUUUUUGCAGCUGAAAGUGUGCCAACCCCGUACAAGAAGAACAGCUGCAGGUCUGCAUGUGGCGGCUCGCGCCAACACUUUGGGAGGCUGAGACAGGAGCAUCUGCUUGAGCCCAGGAGUUCGAUACCAGCCUGGGCAACAUAGUGGGAUCCUGUCUCUACAAAAAAUAAAAGUGAUGAGAAGAAUAGCCCUAAAAUCAUGAGAGUGGUUGCCCCUCGGGACGGCACCAAGGAAAUAGGACUGGUGCGGGGAGUAUAAUAGGAAUUCAUCUUUAUCUGUUAUCCUUUGUCUUUUUAUUUUGAGACGGAGUCUCAUUCUGUCACCCAGGCCGGAGUGCAGUGGUGUAAUCUCGGCUCACUGCAAUCUCUGCCUCCUGGGUUCAAGUGAUUCUCCUGCCUCAGCCUCCCGAGUAGCUGGGAUUACAGGCGCACGCCACCGUGCCUGGCUAAUUUUUUGUGUUUUUAGUAGAGACGAGGUUUCACCAUGCUGGCCAAGCUGGUCUUGAACUCCUGACUUCAUGAUCUGCCUGCCUUGGCCUCCCAAAGUGCUGGGAUCACAGGCGUGAGCUACCAAGCCCGGCCCUAUCUUUUUUAAAAUUAAAAAUAUCUGACACACGAGCCAGGUGCUGUGGCUCACACCUGUAAUCCCAGCACUUUGGGAGACUGAGGAGGGAGAAUCACUUGAGGCCAGGAAUUCCAGAUCAGCAUGGGCAACAUGGUAAGACCUCCGCCUCUACGACAAAUAGCCAGAUGUGGUGGCACACACCUGUAGUUCCAGCUACUCAGUAGGCUGAGGCAGAAGGAUUGCUGGGGCCCACAAAGUCAAGGCUGCAGUGAGCUGUGAUCAUGGCACUGCACUCCAGCCUGGGCAACAGAGUGAGACCCUAUCUCAGAAAAGAAAAACUCUGACAUAAAUGUGAUAAAAUGUUGACACUGUUUCUAUUAUAGCUGUAGGUGUGUGCACAGUUUACAGUUUUGUGUAAAUUCUUUCACUGUUUCCAAAAUAAGUAAAAACUAUUCCAUGGAAGUGUUUUAAAAUGGGAUCUUAAAAAGAAGGAGGAGGAGAAAAAGAAGAAGGAAAAAGAAAGAAGUUUUUCACUAUGUGAUUCUGUUUUCUCGAACUCCUGACCUCAAGUGAUCCACUCGCCAUGGCCUCCCAAAGUCCUGGGAUUACAGGCAUGAGCCACUGCGCCCGGCCUGAUUAUUUCUGUUUUCUAAAGCCUGGUCUGAGAACAACUGGAAAUGCCCUCCUCUCUCACACUCUGAGAAGCACUAGGAUUAGGUAGCAAGUUUGGCUCCCUGGGCCCCGCCACCCUGACCUCCUGCUCACGAUGGCUCUGGGUGCUGGGCUCCUUAGGACUGGGACGAGGCCAUUGCCCCUGGAAGCUAUGCAACAAGGAUCUGAUGGGUCCUGACCCCGCCCAUGCCCAUGGGGGUGUGUGCUGGGGGAGCAGGGGGCAUCCCCUGGACUUCCCAGAAGGAGGCAGGAUUCUCCGAGCUGGCUCCAUCCCAGCUCCUCCACAGGCAUGGGUCAGCAAAACCAGCCCCAGGAAUCGGAGACAUUUGGCAGGAAACAAGUGCUGUCUGGAACACAUCCCUAGGGGGCUGGCUUUAAUGAUGUCCUAGUUUGGGUUUCCCAGAAACUGACCCUGAGACAAGGAUUCUAAAGCAAGUAGUUUGUUUGGUAGGUGAUCCCAGGUAGUGGAGUGGUGGGUCGGUGGGUGAGACAGGAAGACAGCGACAAGCGUCGUGUUACCAACUCAGUCACCACCGUGGGCAAUGGGAGGUGAACCCCACUGAGGAGCUCACAGAGACAGCGUACAACACGCUGCUCAGGGUUACUGCAUCCAAAGGCAAAGGAGCUGGGGUAUUGAUACUCUGCCUGUCAGUCACCGGGGAGAGCUGCUGGGGCAGUGGGGAGGAGGGGAGGCAGCACUCUGGAUGCCAGCAGAGCAGGCUGAGGCCAGAGAAGACCCUGGGAAAAAGAGAUGAGGAUGCUGGCAGGUCGGAGUGGGGAAGGGGUGGGGAAAUGACAUGUCUGCCACCAAUUUCUAGCACUUAGAACAGUGACCAGCUGGGUCUGGCAUGAUGCCCACAUAUUCCUCUGUUACACAGCCUCUGUCCUCUACCUGGUAACAGAACCCCCGUUUCCUCUGGGUACCCACAUUCCCUGAUACAUCCUUCCCUACCCAUUAGGGGUUCCAAUGGUGGGGUUCACUUGUUCGACUGUAGGGGAGGACUUGUGACCCAGCCCCCACUGAUCAGUGUAUAACACCCCCAUGGCCUUAGCAAUUGUUUCUGAGAUUGGUCUGUUCCCUGAGCCAGGCUGGUAGGAUAGAAGCUGUCUUUCUAUGGCGCUGAAAAGCAGUAGGAUGUAAGCCUGGAGUUGCCGCAAGCAGGAAGAACCCCUCAGAGGAGGAGGCCAACACAGCAGACGGCAGAGCCAAGAGAGAGCCCACCCGGCAGCUCAGACACCUCUUCCUCCUUUCUGCAGCCGAGAUCUUGCACUCCU
RNAcentral lists this long non-coding RNA (8722 nucleotides) under Homo sapiens (human). RNAcentral describes it as "non-protein coding lnc-NPIPB6-1:2". Lineage: Eukaryota; Metazoa; Chordata; Mammalia; Primates; Hominidae. The record is from RNAcentral.